This 422-nucleotide ribosomal RNA is filed under the name uncultured prokaryote. Its description in RNAcentral is "bacterial SSU rRNA". It matches the Rfam family "Bacterial small subunit ribosomal RNA", at positions 355 to 774 of the family's 1533-position model. The record is from RNAcentral.
UAAGGAAUAUUGGUCAAUGGGCGCAAGCCUGAACCAGCCAUGCCGCGUGCAGGAAGACGGCCCUAUGGGUUGUAAACUGCUUUUGUCAGGGAAUAAACCUUUGUACGAGUACAGAGCUGAAGGUACCUGAAGAAUAAGCAUCGGCUAACUCCGUGCCAGCAGCCGCGGUAAUCCGGAGGAUGCAAGCGUUAUCCGGAUUCAUGGGGUUUAAAGGGUGCGCAGGCGGAUUGGUAAGUCAGGGGUGAAAUCCUACAGCUCAACUGUGGAACUGCCUUGGAUACGGUCAGUCUAGAGUAUAGUUGAAGUUGGCGGAAUGUGUCGUGUAGCGGUGAAAUGCUUAGAUAUGACACAGAACACCGAUCGCGAAGGCAGCUAGCUAAGCUAUAACUGACGCUCAUGCACGAAAGCGUGGGGAUCAAACA